This 588-nucleotide ribosomal RNA is filed under the name Fusarium sp. NRRL 52720. RNAcentral's name for it is "eukaryotic LSU rRNA". It matches the Rfam family "Eukaryotic large subunit ribosomal RNA", at positions 1 to 587 of the family's 3401-position model. Lineage: Eukaryota; Fungi; Ascomycota; Sordariomycetes; Hypocreales; Nectriaceae. The record is from RNAcentral.
AACUUCUGAAUGUUGACCUCGGAUCAGGUAGGAAUACCCGCUGAACUUAAGCAUAUCAAUAAGCGGAGGAAAAGAAACCAACAGGGAUUGCCCUAGUAACGGCGAGUGAAGCGGCAACAGCUCAAAUUUGAAAUCUGGCUUUCGGGCCCGAGUUGUAAUUUGUAGAGGAUACUUUUGAUGCGGUGCCUUCCGAGUUCCCUGGAACGGGACGCCAUAGAGGGUGAGAGCCCCGUCUGGUUGGAUGCCAAAUCUCUGUAAAGUUCCUUCGACGAGUCGAGUAGUUUGGGAAUGCUGCUCUAAAUGGGAGGUAUAUGUCUUCUAAAGCUAAAUAUUGGCCAGAGACCGAUAGCGCACAAGUAGAGUGAUCGAAAGAUGAAAAGCACUUUGAAAAGAGAGUUAAAAAGUACGUGAAAUUGUUGAAAGGGAAGCGUUUAUGACCAGACUUGGACUUGGUUAAUCAUCUGGGGUUCUCCCCAGUGCACUUUUCCAGUUCAGGCCAGCAUCAGUUUUCGCCGGGGGAUAAAGGCAGUGGGAAUGUAGCUCUCUUCGGGGAGUGUUAUAGCCCAUUGUGUAAUACCCUGGUGGAGA